GACGAACGCUGGCGGCGUGCCUAACACAUGCAAGUCGAGCGGGGUCCAUCCGGUAGCAAUACUGGGGAAGACCUAGCGGCGAACGGGUGAGUAACACGUGAGAAACCUGCCCCGAAGUCUGGGAUAACCCGAGGAAACUCGAGCUAAUACCGGAUGCCUUCUUCUGAUCGCAUGGUCGGAUGAAGAAAAGAUUUAUCGCUUCGGGAGGGUCUCGCGGCCUAUCAGCUAGUUGGCGGGGUAACGGCCCACCAAGGCGUCGACGGGUAGCUGGUCUGAGAGGACGAUCAGCCACACUGGGACUGAGACACGGCCCAGACUCCUACGGGAGGCAGCAGUGGGGAAUAUUGCGCAAUGGGCGAAAGCCUGACGCAGCAACGCCGCGUGC
Molecule: ribosomal RNA, 385 nt
Filed under: uncultured bacterium
Lineage: Bacteria
Description: bacterial SSU rRNA
Rfam family: Bacterial small subunit ribosomal RNA
Source: RNAcentral